GACGAACGCUGGCGGCGUGCCUAAUACAUGCAAGUAGAACGCUGAAGCCUAGCUUGCUAGGUGGAUUAGUGGCGAACGGGUGAGUAAUACGUGAGUAACCUACCUUUAACUCUGGGAUAAGCCUGGGAAACUGGGUCUAAUACCGGAUACGACCAAUCUCCGCAUGGGGUGUUGGUGGAAAGCGUUAUGUAGUGGUUAUAGAUGGGCUCACGGCCUAUCAGCUUGUUGGUGAGGUAACGGCUCACCAAGGCGACGACGGGUAGCCGGCCUGAGAGGGUGACCGGCCACACUGGGACUGAGACACGGCCCAGACUCCUACGGGAGGCAGCAGUGGGGAAUAUUGCACAAUGGGCGCAAGCCUGAUGCAGCGACGCCGCGUGAGGGAUGACGGCCUUCGGGUUGUAAACCUCUGUUAGCAGGGAAGAAGAGAAAUUGACGGUACCUGCAGAGAAAGCGCCGGCUAACUACGUGCCAGCAGCCGCGGUAAUACGUAGGGCGCGAGCGUUGUCCGGAAUUAUUGGGCGUAAAGAGCUUGUAGGCGGUUUGUCGCGUCUGCUGUGAAAGGCCGGGCUUAACCCCCUGUAUGCAGUGGGUCGAGCAGACUAGAGUGCAGUAGGGAGACUGAAUUCCUGGGGUAGCGGGGGAUGCACGAUAUAAUAAGAGAAAAUAUGUGCGGUGGCGUGUGUGGUGUAGUGAGACGAGCAGGGAGGGCGGUGUGGAUAAGAGAAGUUUUAUUCGGCGAGAGCAACAGAUCAGUCUUAAUGUAUACUCUUCUCGGCUCGCCGCGGGGUGGGCAACUCAUAUUCUCUUGUUGGGUGGGUAGAUAGUAUAAGAACCAAUCAGAAUAACGAAGACAGACAGGGGGAGUCGCGUUGUCUUCGUAUUAGUGACGAGUAGCCGCAUUCUCUGUCCAGCAUAAAGGGAGACUAGUACUG
RNAcentral lists this ribosomal RNA (935 nucleotides) under uncultured Bradyrhizobiaceae bacterium. RNAcentral's name for it is "bacterial SSU rRNA". The stretch from base 1 to 784 matches the Rfam family "Bacterial small subunit ribosomal RNA", at positions 28 to 873 of the family's 1533-position model. Lineage: Bacteria; Pseudomonadati; Pseudomonadota; Alphaproteobacteria; Hyphomicrobiales; Nitrobacteraceae. The record is from RNAcentral.